UGCAAUACAACCUAAUACAUAACAUGGCAGGUUAUGAUGCAUGGAUCAUGCUAGAAUCGUGUCAUUUCUCAAAAUAAAAUAUUCAGUUUAGUUCCACUCACCUCUGCUCUUCUGGCAGAUACUGUACUGACUCUGAUAUCUCUAACUCUGUUGACCUCCUCGAACUCUCGGGUCCAAUCCUACACAAAUGGACUCGAAUGAGGUGUCACACAUACUUUGAAUAGCUCUUACACAAAUCCCCAUAAUCCCCGCUAAACCUCUGAACAUAAUCACAUAACUCAUGCAAAAGAAGGCUGGACAGAACACAUUCGGCAGCAGGUUCGGCGGCCGAAUGUCCUCUCCAGAGCCAAAACUCAAGUAUCUUCGGCGACACCUUCGGCGGCCGAAUGUGCAUGACAGAUCCGAAAGUCCAUUCUUUCGGAGGCAACCUUAGGCAGCCGAAACUACCUCCACAAGGGGUUCGGCGGCCGAAUCUUCACUUCGGCGGCCGAA
This 492-nucleotide long non-coding RNA is filed under the name Manihot esculenta (cassava). Its description in RNAcentral is "long non-coding RNA (MESC_LNC012672)". The record is from RNAcentral. Lineage: Eukaryota; Viridiplantae; Streptophyta; Magnoliopsida; Malpighiales; Euphorbiaceae.